AUGGAGGUAACUUUUUGGCGUGGUAUAUUAACUAAACAAUGAGAGGCUGUAAAUUGUCAGGUGAACUAAGCUCUUCCAAGUUUGAACUAAGCUCUUCCAAGUUCCAAGUGUCAGGGACAAUAUUGCCUAUUUGGGUUUGGAACCUAACCAUUGGCAGUACAAUAAUGCUAGACCAGAUGAUGUAGGGGAACUUUUACAUGCUCAGUGGGAAAGGCACAGCUACAAAACCUAUGCAAUGAUACCACAAUAUAAGAGUUUAGCCAACAUUUUGACACAACAAUCCCAAAUUCUUCCAUACAGUUACUAUGGCUUCCCCAAGUUUUCCUCUUCCAGUUUGUUUAGAAUCUCCUCAACAUUUUUAAUACAAUAAAUUUUCAGUCA
This is a long non-coding RNA of Hevea brasiliensis (rubber tree), 381 nucleotides long. RefSeq lists it as uncharacterized. The transcript has 2 exons. The record is from RefSeq and is a predicted model, not a curated record. NCBI's taxonomy places the organism in Eukaryota, Viridiplantae, Streptophyta, Magnoliopsida, Malpighiales, Euphorbiaceae.